AGCGGGAUGGAGCAGUCCGGUAGCUCGUUGGGCUCAUAACCCAAAGGUCGUAGGUUCAAAUCCUACUCCCGCAACCA
This 77-nucleotide transfer RNA is filed under the name Candidatus Acidulidesulfobacter guangdongensis. RNAcentral describes it as "Candidatus Acididesulfobacter guangdongensis tRNA-Met". It matches the Rfam family "tRNA". Rfam says of the family: Transfer RNA (tRNA) molecules are approximately 80 nucleotides in length. Their secondary structure includes four short double-helical elements and three loops (D, anti-codon, and T loops). Lineage: Bacteria; Candidatus Acidulodesulfobacteriota; Candidatus Acidulidesulfobacterales; Candidatus Acidulidesulfobacteraceae. The record is from RNAcentral.